Long non-coding RNA from Cyprinus carpio carpio, 3631 nucleotides. The record is from Ensembl. NCBI's taxonomy places the organism in Eukaryota, Metazoa, Chordata, Actinopteri, Cypriniformes, Cyprinidae.
CAAAAGUACAUAAGAAAAAUUAAAUUUAAAAUGAAACCUGAAAAUAUAAAUGCUCAUUCAAACUGAUUGAAAGUAUUUAUUUUUUAUUGUCUUAGUUGAUCUUCCAUCUUGGUCUUUUGGUAUAAUCGGGCGCUUUACUGAUGGUUAGAUUGGGAAACCAUCGUAAUCCAGCUACAACUAUCACAAAUCAUUUUAGGAGGGAAUUUGCAACAUAUGCUUCUAAACUGUAAUUAUUAAAACUAAAUUUAAUAAUACGAUAUUUAUGAUUCUCAGGGUCAUAAAUAGAAUUUAUUGCAUUAAAUAUAUCUACCAUUUUGCAUACGGCUGUUUAAAAUGUUUAUAAGUGCAUAUUAAUGUGUUCUGUUUUCUGCAUUAAGCAGUAUCCAAUCUGUUUGUACAGUAUUUACUAGUAUUCCAUUCUGAAUAUACCCAGACUGUGGUCAAGUUUUCAACACCUUGUAGUUAUAUGAGUAACAUGCUUUUCCCCAAUGUAUUUCUCCAGGUUUCCUCCCCUCAUAUAAAACACAAAAAGAGAACUCAGACACCACCCGGGGUGUGCGGCUGGAGCAGAAGCUCCUUUGUGAGGCUGUGUUAUAGGAGACGGAGCAGAACGGGGGUGAAGCGGAGGCAUUAAGUGUGGCAGACGCCCCUUUGUGUGUCGGUCACAAUGCUGAAGUGAAAGAAGGCAGGAUGCUUAACAUGCAAAUGAGACGAGAGAGAAGGGGAGGUCAGGGAAAUCACUCAAUGUCACAUUAACAAGUGCUCGUUCCAUGAUGGGGUAUUAAAUGCUGAGUGUGAGAGUACUGCAGCUGCAUCUCGUUCUGUGGCAUUUACCUCUGCCAAUUCAGAAUGAUCCCAAAGAGAUCAGUUCAGAUGAAGAAAAAAAAAAUAUGUAUAUCACUGAUUGAUUAUUUUAUCCCAUUGACACAUGGCAUGUGAUCAUCCAUCAACUGUUUGACCUUGUGAAUGCAAAUGAACUAUAAGGAGUGGCAGAAAUUACCUCACUAUCUCACCAGUCGAUUUUGUAGGUGCUUAGAAUGGCAUACUGUACUGCCAUAUUGAAAUAUAAUUAAAAAAAAAAAAAAAAUCCAUUUGUAUGGUUUAAAUAUUUUAUUAUAAUGAAAUAUAUUUAAAUAUUAAAUGAAUAUUAGAGUUGAAGCAUUAAAAUUACUUAUAACAAUAAAUUGAAACCUUAGUAGUAAUGUAAGAAUACAUAAAUACAAAAUUACUAAAAAAUAAUAAUAAUAAUAAUCUAAAUUUAAAAUGUAAUGAAUGUUUUAUUCAUUAAAAACUAUAACAGUAUAUACAGUAAAUAAUACCAAAUUAAAACUUUGUGGAAUACUUUAUUGCACAAUUCAAUAUGCUUGACUUAACUUUUAAUUUCCAGAAUUAAUAUCAGUUGCUAUUUUAAACAACUCUUUCUUGAAUCGUUGUCUGAAUUAUGAUUAACCUAUAGCAUACUUCUCUUAUAUUUCUAUAUGGCAGCUGAUAUUUAUUUCAGUUAAUUUGUCAUGGCAGGAAUAUUUAGAGUAGUAGUUUGCUCUUCAACAUAACUGAACAUACUGAAGUCAUGUGAAAAACAUCUGUUUGAAACAUUUAUGGUUGCUUACAGCACUACUGCACAUAAAUAAAACAAUAAUAUGCAGUAGUAUGUACUGCACUGUAUUCAGUAAGGGUGUAUGCUAGUGUUCCAUUUCAAAUAUAGGCUGUCUGAUGAUCUGUUUUUAAUUCUCUGGAUCUCCAUCUUAAUAUCUGCAUCCAUUUAGUUAUUUCCAUCUUUCCAGUUAGUAUUAUGAUUCUUUCAUUAUUAACUCCUGUGCUCAAAUCCAAACUCAUUUGACUACUUGUCAUUUCUUCUCCUUCUUACUAGAUUUUCUGUCUUUUUUCACACUUCACAUCUCUCUCUUCAUCACUGUGAUCUGUGUGUCUGCCCAUUUGGUUUAGUGUUAAAGUCAAUGAGAGAGGAAAUUCAGUUUGUGCCUUCAUAAGGAAUGGCUGAGUUUAGGUCAUCAUGCUUUCUUCAAUACCAUUUACAGAUAUAACUGAGUUUUCUUUGAUUUAUGUUGCUAUUCCACUCUGGAUUUUUGUAAGAAAGCUAUAAAUGCUUCUGGGUUAUGCUGCUCAUACUUGCUGAUCUCAUGUCUCUUCCUAAAGCUCUAUAAAUAUUUUAGAUGGUGGUGGGUAAUAACCGUCCCCAUAAAUGCUCCCUUCAACUGUCUGUGGUAUUUACACCAGCCCUAUACUGAUUUAAAGGCCAUACAGCUCACAUUCUUACCAGGGGUAAAUUCACAGCUGUACCUAUUCAUUUUCUGGCAGAGAAAGGUCACACAGGGUGACUGUCAGGGUCAGGGUGACUUUCUAAACUCAGUCAAGCAAUAAAACUUCCAGAGAUGUAGCAUAAAGAAAUAGGCCCAUGAUAUUUCUAUGAAUGUAAUCAUGCAUUGUAAAUGCAUGCACAAACAAUUGAAUUCUACACAAUGUGACUUUUUCAAGAGUCAGUAUAUUUAGUAUUAAUAAGCAUUUGUUUUAGAUGUGCUACAGAAUACGAGAAGUAAUGAAAUUUUAAAAAGUGCAGAGAAGAGAAAUGCGAUUUAAAAUCGUAAGACAGUGCUGCCCUCUAAUGGUUAGAUGUAUGUCAGUAGCCAAUGUAGGCUACGUUAUACUGAAACAUUCCUGCACACACAGUUUGAAGGGUGUCAUUUGUUAGACCUAUAAAUCUGUAUCCAAAGCUUUCGUUGUGGUUGUUGAGAAAACUGCCGAAAAUACAACGUGUAUCCUAUAAAUGAGUGUUGUUAAAAUAUUUGAUUGGCACUGCAUUUAUUGGUACCCCAAAAAAGGAUAGGAGCAACAGACAACAAUUUUGUAGUAUUUGUAUUGUUACUUUUUUAGUUUCACUUUAUGUAAUUUUACACUACUUUUUCAUUUGUAAACAUUAAGUAUUUGCACUACACUGAUGGAGAAAGAAAAAAAGACAGAAAUUCUAAUGGUUUCCACUAAAAAUACUAUUACAAACAUUACAAACCAUCAACCAUUAAACAUAAAAUAUAUAAAGUGUUUUGGAACAUAUUCCAUUAGGAUUUAGUGUUUUUAUCAAGACAAAUUACCACAGAGCCCCACGGCGACAAGUACAGUUGCCAUUAAAACCAAUACAAUUUCCAUUAUAACCAGUAAAACCGUUACAAAUUCUGUGAUGGUUUCUAUUUUUUUUUUUUUUUCAGCAUAAUGUCAAUGUAUUUUACUUAGCACACAUUUUGAGCGCAGCUUAGCUGUCAUUGCAGUUUUUGUCAUGCUAAUACGGCACACGUAAAUUGAAAGAUUAAAUUGAGAGAUAAAUAACAUUCAGUUGCAAUAGCCUUCCUGAUAAUGUUCGGGGUUCAGACACACUUCCUCUGUUUAAAUCUAGAUUAAAAACACACCUCUUUGGCCAAGCAUUCAAAUAAUGCAUCUCAUAAUUUUGGACUGCAGUUAUAUCUGAUCAAAUGUGCAUUAUUAUUCUUUAACUUGGGUUAAACUAAUUAAUUUUACUUGGCUGGAACAGCAGCUACGCUAAUUAUGUUUCUUUUUGUUUCUCUGCUUUGCCACGGGAUUUACAUCCUGUGGUAACUAGGAUUUACACAAGCUCCAGUCUGGA